This 449-nucleotide ribosomal RNA is filed under the name uncultured bacterium. RNAcentral's name for it is "bacterial SSU rRNA". It matches the Rfam family "Bacterial small subunit ribosomal RNA", at positions 329 to 792 of the family's 1533-position model. The record is from RNAcentral.
UUCCAGACUCCUACGGGAGGCAGCAGUGGGGGAUAUUGGACAAUGGGGGGAACCCUGAUCCAGCGACGCCGCGUGAGUGAAGAAGUAUCUCGGUAUGUAAAGCUCUAUCAGCAGGGAAGAAAGAAAUGACGGUACCUGAGUAAGAAGCCCCGGCUAACUACGUGCCAGCAGCCGCGGUAAUACGUAGGGGGCAAGCGUUAUCCGGAUUUACUGGGUGUAAAGGGAGCGUAGACGGUGAAGCAAGUCUGAAGUGAAAGGCGGGGGCUCAACCCCCGGACUGCUUUGAAAACUGUUUGACUGGAGUGCAGGAGAGGUAAGUGGAAUUCCUGGUGUAGCGGUGAAAUGCGUAGAUAUCAGGAGGAACACCGGCGGCGAAGGCGGCUUACUGGACUGUAACUGACGUUGAGGCUCGAAGGCGUGGGGAGCAAACAGGAUUAGAUACCCCCGUA